This 1452-nucleotide ribosomal RNA is filed under the name metagenome. RNAcentral's name for it is "bacterial SSU rRNA". It matches the Rfam family "Bacterial small subunit ribosomal RNA". The record is from RNAcentral.
AUCCUGGCUCAGGAUGAACGCUGGCGGCGUGCCUAACACAUGCAAGUCGAGCGAUUUACUUCGGUAAAGAGCGGCGGACGGGUGAGUAACGCGUGGGUAACCUGCCCUGUACACACGGAUAACAUACCGAAAGGUAUGCUAAUACAAGAUAAUAUGCUUUUAUCGCAUGGUAGAAGUAUCAAAGUUUUUGCGGUACAGGAUGGACCCGCGUCUGAUUAGCUAGUUGGUAAGGUAACGGCUUACCAAGGCGACGAUCAGUAGCCGACCUGAGAGGGUGAUCGGCCACAUUGGAACUGAGACACGGUCCAAACUCCUACGGGAGGCAGCAGUGGGGAAUAUUGCACAAUGGGCGAAAGCCUGAUGCAGCAACGCCGCGUGAGCGAUGAAGGCCUUCGGGUCGUAAAGCUCUGUCCUCAAGGAAGAUAAUGACGGUACUUGAGGAGGAAGCCCCGGCUAACUACGUGCCAGCAGCCGCGGUAAUACGUAGGGGGCUAGCGUUAUCCGGAAUUACUGGGCGUAAAGGGUGCGUAGGUGGUUUCUUAAGUCAGAGGUGAAAGGCUACGGCUUAACCGUAGUAAGCCUUUGAAACUGGGAAACUUGAGUGCAGGAGAGGAGAGUGGAAUUCCUAGUGUAGCGGUGAAAUGCGUAGAUAUUAGGAGGAACACCAGUUGCGAAGGCGGCUCUCUGGACUGUAACUGACACUGAGGCACGAAAGCGUGGGGAGCAAACAGGAUUAGAUACCCUGGUAGUCCACGCCGUAAACGAUGAGUACUAGCUGUCGGAGGUUACCCCCUUCGGUGGCGCAGCUAACGCAUUAAGUACUCCGCCUGGGAAGUACGCUCGCAAGAGUGAAACUCAAAGGAAUUGAUGGGGACCCGCACAAGUAGCGGAGCAUGUGGUUUAAUUCGAAGCAACGCGAAGAACCUUACCUAAGCUUGACAUCCUUUUGACCGAUGCCUAAUCGCAUCUUUCCCUUCGUGGACAGAAGUGACAGGUGGUGCAUGGUUGUCGUCAGCUCGUGUCGUGAGAUGUUGGGUUAAGUCCCGCAACGAGCGCAACCCUUGCCUUUAGUUGCCAGCAUUAAGUUGGGCACUCUAGAGGGACUGCCAGGGAUAACCUGGAGGAAGGUGGGAUGACGUCAAAUCAUCAUGCCCCUUAUGCUUAGGGCUACACACGUGCUACAAUGGGUGGUACAGAGGGCAGCCAAGUCGUGAGGCGGAGCUAAUCCCUUAAAGCCAUUCUCAGUUCGGAUUGUAGGCUGAAACCCGCCUACAUGAAGCUGGAGUUACUAGUAAUCGCAGAUCAGAAUGCUGCGGUGAAUGCGUUCCCGGGUCUUGUACACACCGCCCGUCACACCACGGGAGUUGGGGGCGCCCGAAGCCGGAUUGCUAACCUUUUGGAAGCGUCCGUCGAAGGUGAAAUCAAUAACUGGGGUGAAGUCGUAACAAGGUA